Molecule: long non-coding RNA, 254 nt
Organism: Alligator sinensis (Chinese alligator)
Lineage: Eukaryota; Metazoa; Chordata; Crocodylia; Alligatoridae
Exons: 3
Source: RefSeq, a predicted model, not a curated record
GAGAGGCAGGAGCUCCCUCUGCCAUGAUAUGAGAAGCAGUGAGAAUCGCAGGUGAUGGGGAAUGCUGACACAGGCCAGACUGCCUAUAAGGUUCCUUCCUGGAGACAGAAGACUGGGAGCCAAGGACUAGAACCACUCCAGCUCUCCGGACAAAAUCCUGACUAACACUCGACUGUGGAAGUUCAAACCCUGCUGACCAUGGAACUGCAGCAUCACCCCCUAAGUUAUUAACUAACUAAUCUCCACAACACCCC